UUACCCGCAGCAUCUCCAACCCCAAUAAUUGAGUAAUCAUCCUCCCCCUCUUUAAGAGAUGGCAAAGUUGAAGAAGUACAGUACCCCACCACUCACAACCAGUCCUAAAAGGCCCAUCAAAAAGCCAAAGAGACACCGCCACACCUCCACCAAACUCCGAAUCUAUAGUUUCUGAGGAACCAGAGGUACGCCAAGAAGCAUAACAAGAAGAGCGGUGAAACAAUCACGGAAGAAGAGUCCCCUGCUGGUGUAAUAGCUGCCAUUGGAUUUCUCCCCUUUAACUGGCGAUACAGCAGCAAGUACCAGCCCAGCAGACAGGUGCAGGUCAACUCAGCUAGCAGGCGUAGGAUGCAGGUACAAGUGAUGUUGUCAGGAUGGUUGGCGAAAUAGGCCCAUGCAGGAUUCACCAUGCAUGUGUAGAAUAAACCCUUUCCGUAAAUUGUUUGGAAAGAGACGCAAAUGGAGAAUUAGUUUGUAAAUCUAAUCAGUUGGAUUCAAUUUGUGUCAGAUGAUUUGAUGCGUUGAGUCUUAUUGACAAA
Long non-coding RNA from Glycine soja, 539 nucleotides. RefSeq lists it as uncharacterized. The record is from RefSeq and is a predicted model, not a curated record. NCBI's taxonomy places the organism in Eukaryota, Viridiplantae, Streptophyta, Magnoliopsida, Fabales, Fabaceae. The transcript has 2 exons.